This 332-nucleotide unclassified non-coding RNA is filed under the name Massilia yuzhufengensis. RNAcentral describes it as "Long range pseudoknot". The record is from RNAcentral. Lineage: Bacteria; Pseudomonadati; Pseudomonadota; Betaproteobacteria; Burkholderiales; Oxalobacteraceae.
ACCGAUGAAGGCGACUACAGCAUCAAGCUGCGCAACCUCAUCAAGUUCCUGGAAGAGGGCGACAAGACCAAGAUCACGCUGCGUUUCCGUGGCCGUGAAAUGGCCCACCAGGAUAUCGGCAUGCGCAUGCUCGAACGCCUGCGCGGCGACCUGGAAGAAGUCGGCCAGGUCGAGCAGUUCCCGAAGCUCGAGGGACGCCAGAUGAUCAUGAUCGUUGCGCCGAAAAAGAAGAAGUAAUUCUUCGACGUCAGCUAGGCGGGCCGGGCCCGGGUGCGAGCGCAAGCUGCACCCGGGUCCGGCCUGUGUGCGUUGGUGGGGUUUGAAUCAGUGCA